This 509-nucleotide ribosomal RNA is filed under the name uncultured Paraglomeraceae. Its description in RNAcentral is "bacterial SSU rRNA". It matches the Rfam family "Eukaryotic small subunit ribosomal RNA", at positions 569 to 1078 of the family's 1831-position model. Lineage: Eukaryota; Fungi; Glomeromycota; Glomeromycetes; Paraglomerales. The record is from RNAcentral.
AGCAGCCGCGGUAAUUCCAGCUCCAAUAGCGUAUAUUAAAGUUGUUGCAGUUAAAAAGCUCGUAGUUGAACUUCAGGCCUGUCCAGAUGGUCCGCCUUAAUUGGUGUGUACUGUCCUUGGGUGGGUCCUACCUUCUGGCGAAGCGGCAUGGCCUUAAUUGGUUGUGUCGGGGAACCAGGACUUUUACUGUGAAAAAUUAGAGUGUUCAAAGCAGGCAUUAUAUGCUCGAAUACAUUAGCAUGGAAUAAUGGAAUAGGACGAUGGUUUUAUUUUGUUGGUUCUAGGACCGUUGUAAUGAUUAAUAGGGAUAGUUGGGGGCAUUAGUAUUCAAUUGUCAGAGGUGAAAUUCUUGGAUUUAUUGAAGACUAACUACUGCGAAAGCAUUUGCCAAGGAUGUUUUCAUUAAUCAAGAACGAAAGUUAGGGGAUACGAAGACGAUCAGAUACCGUCGUAGUCUUAACCAUAAACUAUGCCGACUAGGAAUCGGGCGAUGUUGACAAAAUGACUCG